AGUGAACGCUGGCGGUAGGCCUAACACAUGCAAGUCGAACGGCAGCACAGUAAGAGCUUGCUCUUACGGGUGGCGAGUGGCGGACGGGUGAGGAAUACAUCGGAAUCUACUUUUUCGUGGGGGAUAACGUAGGGAAACUUACGCUAAUACCGCAUACGACCUACGGGUGAAAGCAGGGGAUCUUCGGACCUUUCGCGAUUGAAUGAGCCGAUGUCGGAUUAGCUAGUUGGCGGGGUAAAGGCCCACCAAGGCGACGAUCCGUAGCUGGUCUGAGAGGAUGAUCAGCCACACUGGAACUGAGACACGGUCCAGACUCCUACGGGAGGCAGCAGUUGGGAAUAUUGGACAAUGGGCGCAAGCCUGAUCCAGCCAUACCGCGUGGGUGAAGAAGGCCUUCGGGUUGUAAAGCCCUUUUGUUGGGAAAGAAAAGCAGCAGGUUAAUACCCCGCUGUUCUGACGGUACCCAAAGAAUAAGCACCGGCUAACUUCGUG
RNAcentral lists this ribosomal RNA (492 nucleotides) under uncultured bacterium. Its description in RNAcentral is "partial 16S ribosomal RNA". It matches the Rfam family "Bacterial small subunit ribosomal RNA", at positions 29 to 507 of the family's 1533-position model. The record is from RNAcentral.